UAGGGAAUCUUCGGCAAUGGGGGGAACCCUGACCGAGCAACGCCGCGUGAGUGAAGAAGGUUUUCGGAUCGUAAAGCUCUGUUGUUAAGGAAGAACGAGUGUGAGAAUGGAAAGUUCAUGCUGUGACGGUACUUAACCAGAAAGGGACGGCUAACUACGUGCCAGCAGCCGCGGUAAUACGUAGGUCCCGAGCGUUGUCCGGAUUUAUUGGGCGUAAAGCGAGCGCAGGCGGUUAGAAAAGUCUGAAGUGAAAGGCGGUGGCUCAACCAUUGUAGGCUUUGGAAACUGUGUAACUUGAGUGCAGAAGGGGAGAGUGGAAUUCCAUGUGUAGCGGUGAAAUGCGUAGAUAUAUGGAGGAACACCGGUGGCGAAAGCGGCUCUCUGGUCUGUAACUGACGCUGAGGCUCGAAAGCGUGGGGAGCGAACAGG
This 429-nucleotide ribosomal RNA is filed under the name Bacteroidota bacterium. RNAcentral's name for it is "Bacteroidetes bacterium partial 16S ribosomal RNA". It matches the Rfam family "Bacterial small subunit ribosomal RNA", at positions 355 to 776 of the family's 1533-position model. Lineage: Bacteria; Pseudomonadati; Bacteroidota. The record is from RNAcentral.